RNAcentral lists this ribosomal RNA (378 nucleotides) under Triticum aestivum (bread wheat). RNAcentral describes it as "partial small subunit ribosomal RNA". The record is from RNAcentral. Lineage: Eukaryota; Viridiplantae; Streptophyta; Magnoliopsida; Poales; Poaceae.
AUGAAAAUGAUGAUGUCACGCUUCGUAUUGAUAUGGGAUUCAAAUUCGAAUCCCAUAUCUGAGGCAUUCAUGGUGGAUAUUCUUCGUAUUGAUAUGGGAUUCGCUUUCGACCAUCAAGGCCAGCAUAAUUAUACAUGCAUUGCUUCUAUGCAAGUGCAAUCGAAGUACUCCUACAGAUCACCAGAUCUGGUAGUGGUAUUGACAAUCAAACUGGCUCCAUUUAAAACAAGUGCCUCCGGUAUGAAUAUGGUGAUGCAAAUUGUUUAUUUAUCUGGCCAACCGAGGCUUCCUUUCCGGUGCGAUCUGCAGAAAGGGGAGAUGGGUGACAAGUGUAAGUGUAGUGUGGUAGCUCAACGAAACCUCACCAGAUGCAGAUAG